CGCAGCGAAAGCUGUGCUAAUACCGCAUGAGACCACAAGAUCGCAUGGUCAAGGGGUCAAAGGAGCAAUCCGGUGAAGGGUGGGCUCGCGUCUGAUUAGCUAGUUGGCGGGGUAACGGCCCACCAAGGUAACGAUCAGUAGCCGACCUGAGAGGGUGAUCGGCCACACUGGGACUGAGACACGGCCCAGACUCCUACGGGAGGCAGCAGUGGGGAAUAUUGGGCAAUGGGCGAAAGCCUGACCCAGCAACGCCGCGUGAGGGAAGAAGGUUUUCGGAUCGUAAACCUCUGUCCUUGGUGAAGAGUAAGAGACGGUAGCCAAGGAGGAAGCCCCGGCUAACUACGUGCCAGCAGCCGCGGUAAUACGUAGGGGGCGAGCGUUGUCCGGAAUGAUUGGGCGUAAAGGGCGCGUAGGCGGCCUGCUAAGUCUGGAGUGAAAUUCCUGCUUUCAAGGUAGGAAGUGCUUUGGAAACUGGCGGGCUGGAGUGCAGGAGAGGUUAGCGGAAUUCCCGGUGUAGCGGUGAAAUGCGUAGAGAUCGGGAGGAACACCAGUGGCGAAGGCGGCUAACUGGACUGUAACUGACGCUGAGGCGCGAAAGUGUGGGGAGCAAACAGGAUUAGAUACCCUGGUAGUCCACACUGUAAACGAUGAAUGCUAGGUGUAGGGGGUAUCGACCCCUUCUGUGCCGGAGUAAACACAAUA
This 702-nucleotide ribosomal RNA is filed under the name uncultured bacterium. RNAcentral describes it as "bacterial SSU rRNA". It matches the Rfam family "Bacterial small subunit ribosomal RNA", at positions 147 to 862 of the family's 1533-position model. The record is from RNAcentral.